RNAcentral lists this ribosomal RNA (510 nucleotides) under uncultured bacterium. Its description in RNAcentral is "partial 16S ribosomal RNA". It matches the Rfam family "Bacterial small subunit ribosomal RNA", at positions 28 to 507 of the family's 1533-position model. The record is from RNAcentral.
GACGAACGCUGGCGGCGUGCUUAACACAUGCAAGUCGAACGAAGAGCGAUGGAAGCUUGCUUCUAUCAAUCUUAGUGGCGCACGGGUGAGUAACGCGUAAUCAACCUGCCCUUCAGAGGGGGACAACAGUUGGAAACGACUGCUAAUACCGCAUACGAUCUAAUCUCGGCAUCGAGGAUAGAUGAAAGGUGGCCUCUACAUGUAAGCUAUCACUGAAGGAGGGGAUUGCGUCUGAUUAGCUAGUUGGAGGGGUAACGGCCCACCAAGGCGAUGAUCAGUAGCCGGUCUGAGAGGAUGAACGGCCACAUUGGGACUGAGACACGGCCCAGACUCCUACGGGAGGCAGCAGUGGGGAAUCUUCCGCAAUAGACGAAAGUCUGACGGAGCAACGCCGCGUGAGUGAUGACGGCCUUCGGGUUGUAAAGCUCUGUUAAUCGGGACGAAAGGCCUUCUUGCGAAUAGUGAGAAGGAUUGACGGUACCGGAAUAGAAAGCCACGGCUAACUACGUG